CUCGAUUCGUUAGAACAGCUUCCAUUCAGUCUCUGCACCUAUCCUUUUCCUUUGUAUUCUAGUUCGAGAACCCCUUGUUUCUCAAAACACGGAUUUGGCUCAGGAUUGCCCUUUUUUAAUUCCAGGGUUUCUCUGAAUUUGGAAGUUACCACUUAG
This 156-nucleotide ribosomal RNA is filed under the name Triticum aestivum (bread wheat). RNAcentral's name for it is "partial small subunit ribosomal RNA". The record is from RNAcentral. Lineage: Eukaryota; Viridiplantae; Streptophyta; Magnoliopsida; Poales; Poaceae.